GGGCGGUGGCCUAGUGACUUCGAGUCAGCGCUCCGAAGCUACCCGGUAGCCGCCCAAGCCCCCGGGAGUGGAGCCGCGAGGCUCCACCUAGGCUUGGGGGAAGGGCACACCGUUGCAUUCCCUUCCGCCUCGAAUCCGAGGGCGCGCCCGCCCGAGGGCGAGUUCACGCUCUCAGCUGGUUUUAGCGGCUCCCCCGGGGUCUCCGGAGUCUGGCGGGAGGGUCCCGCGCCUGCACGUGGAGGAAUGCUCCCGAGCCUACGUGCUUACGCAGGGCGGGCAUGGGGUGGGAUGGGGGGUGACCUAGCGGCUGUUCUGCCGCGGAUCUCGGGGUCCGCAGGGUCUGAGCACCGGGCGGGCGGCGCGCUUCAGUUUGACUAAAAGGCGCAGGACUUGCAGGUUAUUGGAUGUUGUUCAUAAUUACAUGUAUGAAGACUGUAAAUGUAAUAUAUAAAGUUACAUAUAAUCAUGCAUUAUGUGGACAUUGCGUAAUUGUAUUGAUAGAAACGUUGUAUGUUUCGGUCGUGCCCCACUGUCCGUGACCCCAUUUGCCGUUCUCUUGGCAAAGAGGUCAGCGUGGUUGCCCUUGUCCCGCUCCGGCCCAUCCGACCGGGGGUGGGGAAAUUGAGGCAGACAGAAGUGACCCGCUUGGUGUCACUCAGAUAGUGAGUGUCUGAGGAACCCGAGCGCUGCCUCCCGACCCGGCGCCCCUCCGCCGGGCUGCCCGAAUAGUGCGUCAAUAUGUGUGCAACAACUUCAGUGUCCAACGCAGUUCCGUCAGCGAGAGCAUUCUUACUAUCAAUGCUGCAAAGAAGAACAGAUGGGAGUCCUUCAGGGGAUCUAUGGUUCACACUAACCAGGACCUAUCCAUUUUGCCGUGCUAGAAGAGAUCUUGGAGAUGUUAACUACCUUUGGCCAUCCGGUGAAACACAGAACCUCUUCUCAAAAUUACGUUUUCCCUGUAUGAACUUGGAGGUAUUUCACGGGCUGGGCUCAUAUGCUGAACUCCCUGAGAUCUGAAGACAAAAACCACCAGAGAUCCGGCUGUGAUAAAUCUGUGCUAUGAGGUCAAUAAAAGCAGUUUCCAGGAGUGGUAUGUUCAUAAUUAGUAAUGCAUGACCCUAGAAGUCUAGACUUCAUCGUCCCCAGGGUUCUCCCCACCCACAUCCUGUUUUCAUUUCUCGUGGAUAUGACGACAGAGUCACUUUGGAAGGGUGCUAGGUUAUGCAUGUGGGAGUCAUCUUGACGUGUCAUAAAAUAUUGAUGUUUCCUAGAGAAUUCAACAAGAUCACAAUUUUCAGCAGACUUAGUAUUGCCAUUCUGACUUAAGGCCAAUUCAAUACGAUAGGGCUAUGAGCCAUGGGAGGUUUUUGGUAGGAUUUAUUAACCACCCUGUUCCAAGGGAAAGAUUCGCCAAUGAGGGAAAAAAGAUAGUGUGGAAGAAGUCUGGAAUAAUACAAAUAGAGUGACUAAAAAAUAGUAAAUGUCAGAGAACAUUUGAACUCCCAUCAAUUCUUUCCAUCAGGUGACUUGGGAUUGUCUUGAAUCACUAAACUGAGAAGAGCUUAGUCAGCCCUUCACUCUUCAAUUCUCAGCCAACUCGAAAAGAGCUACUUAUGAAUGUUUCUGAACCUGUACGGCCUUUUCCCUCUUUUAUGAUUUUCUUGGGACACAGACCCAGUAAGGGCACAGCUGGUCAAAAAUACGGAGUUUUAUGAUACUUUGGGCAUAAUUCCAAAUUCUUCUUCAGAAUGACUGGAUCAGUUCACAACUGCGCCAACAGAGCCUUAGUGUCCCAAUUUUCUCACACUUUCCCCAAUAUUUAUCAUGUUGUUUCUCUGUCACAUCAGCCAAUCUGAUAGGUGUGAGGUAGUACCUCAGUUAUUUUGAUUUGCAUUAGAGUACUUUUUGAUAUGACAGUAGGUAGCUUCUAUUUCUUCAUCUGAAAAGUUCCUGUUCCUAUUUUUUGACCAUUUGUCCAUUGGGGAAUGACUUGUAUUGAUUCAAUUCCCUAUAUAUUUAUGAAGUGAGGUCUUUAUCAGAGACACUUGCUAUAAAAAUGGUUCCUUAGCUCUCUUCUUCUAACUUUAGUUACUUUGGUUUUGUUUGUAUAAAAUCUUUUUAAUUUAAUGUAAUCAGAAUUAUCCAUUUUAUAUCUCACAUGUUCUCUGUAGCUUGUUUGGUUAUAAAUCCUUACCUUUUCCAAAGAUCUGACAAGUAAACAAAUCCUUGCUCUACUAA
This is a long non-coding RNA of Antechinus flavipes (yellow-footed antechinus), 2238 nucleotides long. RefSeq lists it as uncharacterized. The record is from RefSeq and is a predicted model, not a curated record. Lineage: Eukaryota; Metazoa; Chordata; Mammalia; Dasyuromorphia; Dasyuridae. The transcript is spliced from 3 exons.